RNAcentral lists this ribosomal RNA (535 nucleotides) under uncultured Glomeromycotina. RNAcentral describes it as "SSU rRNA". It matches the Rfam family "Eukaryotic small subunit ribosomal RNA", at positions 549 to 1085 of the family's 1831-position model. Lineage: Eukaryota; Fungi; Glomeromycota. The record is from RNAcentral.
UGGAGGGCAAGUCUGGUGCCAGCAGCCGCGGUAAUUCCAGCUCCAAUAGCGUAUAUUAAAGUUGUUGCAGUUAAAAAGCUCGUAGUUGAAUUUCGGGAUCAAUACGUCGGUCGUGCCUUCGGUACGNACUGGNGUCGUUGAUUNCUCCCUUCUGAUGAAACAUGAUGUCAUUAAUUUGAUGUUGUGGGGAGUCAGGACUGUUACUUUGAAAAAAUUAGAGUGUUUAAAGCAGGCAAACGCUUGAAUACAUUAGCAUGGAAUAAUGAAAUAGGACGUUCGAACCUAUUUUGUUGGUUUCUAGGUACAACGUAAUGAUUAAUAGGGAUAGUUGGGGGCAUUAGUAUUCAAUUGUCAGAGGUGAAAUUCUUGGAUUUAUUGAAGACUAACUACUGCGAAAGCAUUUGCCAAGGAUGUUUUCAUUAAUCAAGAACGAAAGUUAGGGGAUCGAAGACGAUCAGAUACCGUCGUAGUCUUAACCAUAAACUAUGCCGACUAGGGAUCGGAUGAAGUUAAUUUUUUAAUGACUCAUUCGGCG